Molecule: ribosomal RNA, 340 nt
Filed under: uncultured bacterium
Lineage: Bacteria
Description: bacterial SSU rRNA
Rfam family: Bacterial small subunit ribosomal RNA
Source: RNAcentral
ACUCCUACGGGAGGCAGCAGUGGGGAAUAUUGCACAAUGGGGGAAACCCUGAUGCAGCCAUGCCGCGUGUGUGAAGAAGGCCUUCGGGUUGUAAAGCACUUUCAGUAGGGAGGAAGGUAGUGUAGUUAACACCUGCAUUAUUUGUACGUUACCUACAGAAGAAGCACCGGCUAACUCCGUGCCAGCAGCCGCGGUAAUACGGAGGGUGCGAGCGUUAAUCGGAAUUACUGGGCGUAAAGCGCAUGCAGGCGGCCUGUUAAGUCAGAUGUGAAAGCCCGGGGUCUUAACCUCGGAAUUGCAUUUGAAACUGGCAGGCUAGAGUCUUGUAGAGGGGUUAGAA